Molecule: long non-coding RNA, 1247 nt
Filed under: Dromaius novaehollandiae (emu)
Lineage: Eukaryota; Metazoa; Chordata; Aves; Casuariiformes; Dromaiidae
Description: lncRNA (ENSDNVG00000015514.1)
Source: RNAcentral
AAGCAUUUAUCCUGUGAUGGAGAAGCAUUAUAACCAUAGGUGACUAAGUGUAACCUGAGGAACUUCAGAUAUUGGUGGAGCUGGGAUUUCUGGCUACGUGCUCUUUCUGCAUCAGAGCUGCUUAUGGUGUGUAUAGAAACAAAAUCGAUGUUGUUAAUAAACAAGUUCUGUGGAGUUUUUUUGUUCUGUAGAAGUUACUCAGGAACAAACAGCAAUACCUUUCAUGCUCCUUCUGGCAUUGACAAAGUGGCAGAGGAUUGAAGUAGUCAUGACACAUGGUCUCUGUGACAGCAGAGCAUCCUUGUAGUUAUAAGAAUAGGCCAUUGGGUCAAAUUUGCGCAGCUUCUGGGCUGCAUUACAUCAUUUGCCAAACAGAAGUGUGUCUUUUGUGGUCAUACAGAACCUGUCAUGUUGACAGAAUAUAUGUUUAUAAAUAUUAAUUUGAURAUGUUUAUUGUGUCCUUCAGAAAGCCUGACAAAAUACUGUGUGCACUCUCUUUAAAGUAGAAUGGGUAGUAGGAGCUGCUUAAAUGUUGCUGGCUGGUUUCCAUGGUGACGAGAACUCCCCAGCUGCUGUUAGAGACAAGGGGAGUGUGCAGGAGGAGAGGUCCUGCAGAGCAGCUGCUCUUUCCCGUUGAACUCGUGAGAGAUUUCUGCUGUUCUGAAACAUCUGAGCCUGAGCCUUCAGCCAGCUGCUGCAUUGCACAAAUGGCCUGAAGUCACUUUGAAAGGUGUUCCUAGUGUGCAGCCAUGACUACCUUUACAUGCUAUGCUUACCAGGAUCCUUGUAACAAAAGUGGUACCCUUCACUAAGGACUUUAGAAAGCCAAAAUAACUUUGGUGCAAAACCUUCCAGGAUGUCUAAAGCUGCACUGCCCUCCAGGAGGCAUGGCAGUCAGCAGAAAAGCAGGAAGGCCCCUCAUGCUGCAGAAAAGGCUGUGGAAAUUGCACCUGGCUACAAGUUCAUACGGGCUAAAGACCAUCUCUCUGUAGUCCUAGAGGAUAAAUUUUUUGACAGAUUAUUAUCAUCUGUGGAUGAACAAGUUUCACCUGUCACUCCCUGUGCCCCAGAAAAGAAUGAAACCUCACUUCAAGAAGCUCAUAGGUUAGAAGUUGCUGGCUUGCAAGAACAUUUCCAGAAGUUACUGGAGCUUGAGAGAGCAGCUGCAGAAGAAAAACUGGGUAUUGGCAGACUUUGUGCAGAAUGCUGUGUAAUUGUGUUUAUAGUUAAGAUUUUAGCUUGUUAA